UGGGGAAUCUUCCGCAAUGGGCGAAAGCCUGACGGAGCAACGCCGCGUGAGUGAUGACGGCCUUCGGGUUGUAAAACUCUGUGAUCCGGGACGAAAAGGCAGAGUGCGAAGAACAAACUGCAUUGACGGUACCGGAAAAGCAAGCCGCGGCUAACUACGUGCCAGCAGCCGCGGUAAUACGUAGGUGGCAAGCGUUGUCCGGAAUUAUUGGGCGUAAAGCGCGCGCAGGCGGCUUCCCAAGUCCCUCUUAAAAGUGCGGGGCUUAACCCCGUGAUGGGAAGGAAACUGGGAAGCUGGAGUAUCGGAGAGGAAAGUGGAAUUCCUAGUGUAGCGGUGAAAUGCGUAGAGAUUAGGAAGAACACCGGUGGCGAAGGCGACUUUCUGGACGAAAACUGACGCUGAGGCGCGAAAGCGUGGGGAGCAAACAGGAUUAGAUACCCUGGUAGUCCACGCCGUAAACGAUGGAUACUAGGUGUAGGAGGUAUCGACCCCUCCUGUGCCGGAGUUAACGCAAUAAGUAUCCCGCCUGGGAAGUACGAUCGCAAGAUUA
RNAcentral lists this ribosomal RNA (550 nucleotides) under uncultured bacterium. Its description in RNAcentral is "bacterial SSU rRNA". It matches the Rfam family "Bacterial small subunit ribosomal RNA", at positions 355 to 896 of the family's 1533-position model. The record is from RNAcentral.